CCCUUAGAGUUUGAUCCUGGCUCAGAUUGAACGCUGGCGGAAUGCCUAACACAUGCAAGUCGAACGAGUUGUGUAGCAAUACACAGCUAGUGGCGGACGGGUGAGGAACACAUAGGAAUCUACCCUUGUAGUGGGGAAUAGCCCGGGGAAACCCGGAUUAAUGCCGCAUACGCACUACGGUGGAAAGCGGAGGAUCGUAAGACUUCGCGCUAUAGGAUGAGCCUAUGUCGGAUUAGCUAGUUGGUAGGGUAAUGGCCUACCAAGGCGACGAUCCGUAGCUGGUCUGAGAGGACGAUCAGCCACACUGGAACUGAGACACGGUCCAGACUCCUACGGGAGGCAGCAGUGGGGAAUAUUGGACAAUGGGGGCAACCCUGAUCCAGCAAUUCCGCGUGGGUGAAGAAGGCCUUCGGGUUGUAAAGCCCUUUAGGCAGGGAAGAAAAGCCGUAUGUAAAUAAUGUACGGUCUUGACGGUACCUGCGGAAUAAGCACCGGCUAACUCUGUGCCAGCAGCCGCGGUAAUACAGAGGGUGCAAGCGUUAAUCGGAUUUACUGGGCGUAAAGCGUGCGUAGGCGGCCAGACCAGUCGGAUGUGAAAUCCCCGAGCUUAACUUGGGAACUGCAUCCGAAACUAUCUGGCUAGAGUGUGGUAGAGGGCGGUGGAAUUCCCGGUGUAGCGGUGAAAUGCGUAGAUAUCGGGAGGAACAUCAAUGGCGA
Molecule: ribosomal RNA, 717 nt
Filed under: uncultured bacterium
Lineage: Bacteria
Description: bacterial SSU rRNA
Rfam family: Bacterial small subunit ribosomal RNA
Source: RNAcentral